CAAGGGGCCCGAACGAUGCGGUAGCUGGUCUGAGAGGAUGACCAGCCACACUGGAACUGAGACACGGUCCAGACUCCUACGGGAGGCAGCAGUGGGGAAUAUUGGACAAUGGGGGCAACCCUGAUCCAGCAAUGCCGCGUGUGUGAAGAAGGCCUGAGGGUUGUAAAGCACUUUCAGUGGGGAGGAGGGUUGAUAGGUUAAGAGCUAAUUAACUGGACGUUACCCACAGAAGAAGCACCGGCUAACUCCGUGCCAGCAGCCGCGGUAAUACGGAGGGUGCGAGCGUUAAUCGGAAUUACUGGGCGUAAAGGGUGCGUAGGUGGUUGAUUAAGUUAUCUGUGAAAUUCCUGGGCUUAACCUGGGACGGUCAUAUAAUACUGGUUGACUCAAGUAUGGGAGAGGGUUGUGGAAUUUUCGGUGUUCGGUGAAAUGCUUA
RNAcentral lists this ribosomal RNA (436 nucleotides) under uncultured Legionella sp. RNAcentral's name for it is "bacterial SSU rRNA". It matches the Rfam family "Bacterial small subunit ribosomal RNA", at positions 258 to 692 of the family's 1533-position model. The record is from RNAcentral. Lineage: Bacteria; Pseudomonadati; Pseudomonadota; Gammaproteobacteria; Legionellales; Legionellaceae.